AGAGUUUGAUCAUGGCUCAGGGCUAACGCUGGCGGCGUGUCUUAGCCAUGCAAGUCGAGCGGUCCUAUGGGGCGACCUAUAGGAUAGCGGCGGACGGCGGAGUAACACGUAGCUAACCUACCCUCCGGACGGGGAUAACCAUUCGAAAGGGUGGCUAAUACCCGAUGGAGUCAUCCGCAAGGGUGAUGAAAGGUGGGCCUCUGUUUACAAGCUCAUGCCGGGGGAGGGGGCUGCGGCCUAUCAGGUAGUUGGUGGGGUAAAGGCCCACCAAGCCUAUGACGGGUAGCCGGCCUGAGAGGGUGACCGGCCCGAGGGACACUGAGACACGGGUCCCACUCCUACGGGAGGCAGCAGGCUAGAAAUUUGGGCAAUGGGGGGAACCCUGACCCAGUGACGCCGCGUGCAGGAAGGAGCCCUUCGGGGUGUAAACUGCUGUCGUGCGGGGCGAAGGGUUUAUAGGCGAAUAGUCUAUAGACUUGACGGUACCGCAGGAGGAAGCCCAGGCUAACCUCGUGCCAGCAGCCGCGGUAAUACGGGGUGGGCGAGCGUUGCCCGGAAUUACUGGGUUUAAAGGGGGUGUAGGCGGUCUGGAUAGUCAGGUGUGUAAUCCAAUCGCUCAACGAUUGGACUGCAUCUGAUACUUUCAGGCUAGAGGGCGGUAGAGGAGAGCGGAACUCCCGGUGUAGCGGUGAAAUGCGUAGAUAUCGGGAGGAACGCCGGUGGCGAUGGCGGCUCUCUGGGCCGUUCCUGACGCUGAGGCCCGAAAGCUGGGGGAGCGAAAGGGAUUAGAUACCCCUGUAGUCCCAGCCGUAAACGAUGGGCACUAGGUGUGCCUCUAUAUAGGGGUGUGCCGACGGGAAACCAUUAAGUGCCCCACCUGGGGAGUACGCCCGCAAGGGUGAAACUCAAAUGAAUUGACGG
This 921-nucleotide ribosomal RNA is filed under the name uncultured bacterium. Its description in RNAcentral is "bacterial SSU rRNA". It matches the Rfam family "Bacterial small subunit ribosomal RNA", at positions 8 to 916 of the family's 1533-position model. The record is from RNAcentral.